Molecule: ribosomal RNA, 492 nt
Filed under: uncultured bacterium
Lineage: Bacteria
Description: partial 16S ribosomal RNA
Rfam family: Bacterial small subunit ribosomal RNA
Source: RNAcentral
AGUGAACGCUGGCGGUAGGCCUAACACAUGCGAGUCGAACGGCAGCACAGUAAGAGCUUGCUCUUACGGGUGGCGAGUGGCAGACGGGUGAGGAAUACAUCGGAAUCUACUUUUUCGUGGGGGAUAACGUAGGGAAACUUACGCUAAUACCGCAUACGACCUACGGGUGAAAGCAGGGGAUCUUCGGACCUUGCGCGAUUGAAUGAGCCGAUGUCGGAUUAGCUAGUUGGCGGGGUAAAGGCCCACCAAGGCGACGAUCCGUAGCUGGUCUGAGAGGAUGAUCAGCCACACUGGAACUGAGACACGGUCCAGACUCCUACGGGAGGCAGCAGUGGGGAAUAUUGGACAAUGGGCGCAAGCCUGAUCCAGCCAUACCGCGUGGGUGAAGAAGGCCUUCGGGUUGUAAAGCCCUUUUGUUGGGAAAGAAAAGCAGCAGGUUAAUACCCCGCUGUUCUGACGGUACCCAAAGAAUAAGCACCGGCUAACUUCGUG